CUGGAAACGGCUGCUAAUACCGAAUACGUCUUUUCAUCGCAUGGUGAGAAGAAGAAAAAGGACGGCCUCUACACAAAGCGGUCGCCGAAGGAGGGGUUUUGCGUCUGAUUAGCUAGUUGAGGGGUAACGGCCCAACAAGGCGACGAUCAGUAGCCGGUCUGAGAGGAUGAACGGCCACAUUGGGACUGAGACACGGCCCAGACUCCUACGGGAGGCAGCAGUGGGGAAUCUUCCGCAAUGGACGAAAGUCUGACGGAGCAACGCCGCGUGAGUGAAGACGGUCUUCGGAUUGUAAAGCUCUGUUAUACGGGACGAACGGCAAGGUGGUAAAUAGCCAUCAUGAGUGACGGUACCGUAAGAGAAAGCCACGGGCUAACUACGUGCCAGCAGCCGCGGUAAAU
This is a ribosomal RNA of 401 nucleotides. It matches the Rfam family "Bacterial small subunit ribosomal RNA", at positions 150 to 525 of the family's 1533-position model.